This is a small nuclear RNA of Amblyraja radiata (thorny skate), 160 nucleotides long. RefSeq annotates it as U1 spliceosomal RNA. Lineage: Eukaryota; Metazoa; Chordata; Chondrichthyes; Rajiformes; Rajidae. The transcript has a single exon. The record is from RefSeq and is a predicted model, not a curated record.
ACAAUGACCUUGCAGGGGAGUGUCGCUGAUCACCGAGGCCCAUCACCCAGGAUGAGGCUAUCCCAAUGCACUUGUGGGUGCCGACACCUGCGAGGUCCCCAAACGUAGGAAACUCAUCUGUAAAAUUUGUAGUGGUGGAUUGUAUUCUUGCUAAUAUUUA